CCCAUAUCUUGCUACCCUCCUCGUCGUUGCGGUCAUCGCCAUCGUCUCUGCCACUAUGCUCUUCUAUUGUGCUUGUCUUUGGUGGUCUUUCUGGUCCAUCACCAUUGCGGCAACUCAAGACGACACAACCUCUUGAUGGCCGAUGAUUCGACAUCUCAUUUCAGAUCGAAAAGGUCCUCUGCUCUAUUCUAUAUUAAAUUAUGUUAGGAUUUGACACCUCGAGAUUCAGUCCACAUUGAGCCCACAGCGAGGUUCGCGGCGAAAAACGGAGUCCAACGAGACCAAGAUCAUCCGAAACGGAGCUCG
RNAcentral lists this long non-coding RNA (306 nucleotides) under Elaeis guineensis (African oil palm). RNAcentral's name for it is "long non-coding RNA (EGUI_LNC029658)". Lineage: Eukaryota; Viridiplantae; Streptophyta; Magnoliopsida; Arecales; Arecaceae. The record is from RNAcentral.